GUGAUCGGACUCGGAAGCAAGCGCAGGCGGAAAGAUAAUAAAGGCGGCCAGGAACAGGACAAGAGAGAGUGAUGGAGCGGUCGGCAGCAUCUGUAUCGUCGGCGAAGAUACGGAUACAACGGUUCAGAUUACUCGUUCGGCCUGGUUUUAUUCCCCAGAGUAAGAGAGUAGCCCCUGUUGUGGUAGAGCUGCUUCACAACUUUCUUUUUCUUGACAAAAAUAGAAAAGUAAAAUAUUGCACUACAUACACCAGAAAGAAAAUGAAGUCCAUCAUAAU
Molecule: unclassified non-coding RNA, 277 nt
Filed under: Hevea brasiliensis (rubber tree)
Lineage: Eukaryota; Viridiplantae; Streptophyta; Magnoliopsida; Malpighiales; Euphorbiaceae
Source: RNAcentral